CUCUAGACGUGAACCCUUUUCCCAUUCUCAUUCUCCUCUCGUUCGUUUUUCUCUUUUUCUUCCCAGGAUUCAUCCAUAGAUCGUUGCUAGAUCCAGCAAGUGAGAAGGACGUGGUGAGUAGUAUUUGCGGCAGAGUGUCGUGGUUGCAGGCUCUCGGCGGCGGCCGGUCCUCCAGCUCGACUACACGUGCCUGCUGCUCACCCGCUGCCGUCGAUUGGAUGGCCGUGGAGUUCGCUCCCCUUGAACCUAAGCGGCGACUCUCCUCCAAGUAAUCUCUCCUCUUCCCCUCCUUCUCCUUCCUUCCCAGAUGCUUGGUCUGCUAGGAUCCAGCAAUUGCGUGGAUUUUGAAUUCUUCAUGAGAAAUCGGCUCGUGGUCUCCUGUUAUCCCCUGCCUGCAGCUCGUGGAGAUUUUUUUCUGGUGGAGAUAAGGAGAUGCUUAUGGUCUAUUGACCUUGUUUUUUUUAUCUUGCAUGGUUUCUUCUUACUCAUAAUUUUCAUGCUCGCAAGACGGAGAGGGUGUUCUCCGGUGAGGUACUACUCAGAAGCCGGGAAGGGCAAAUGUAGAGAUGACCAAUAUGCGCAUGGAGUUUUUUUAGGAUCAAGCGAGCGAAGACUUGCCUCAAUUUAUCUUUCAGCCUUUCACACUACUGUCAUGGUAGUGUGUGGAUGCAUGGAAAAACAUGGUUAAAAGAGUUUUGACAUAGAAGAUUAGAAGCAAGGUUGAGCUGAGAUCAAAUGCUGACACACAUGAGGAUUGCAUGUGGAUAUUACCUGAGGUUGAUGGUGUUGAUGUCGUUUCUUUGUGCCUUCGAUCAUUUGGGCGUCGCGGGCGUAUAUUGGAUGCAAGUUGCUAGAGUUGUUUCCAUGCCUUCGAUUUGUCGGCCGUCUUUGUGUGUUCGAUCGUCCUAACAUCUUGAUAAAAGAGCUAUUAAGAAAGUACAUCAUGGGUCAGACCCAAGAGUUGAACGUCGUCUUGUAAAACUACUGUUGAAUGAUGACUAUGUUAUAUAAAUAGAAGGGAUGAGCGUGUGACC
Molecule: non-coding RNA, 1034 nt
Organism: Triticum urartu
Lineage: Eukaryota; Viridiplantae; Streptophyta; Magnoliopsida; Poales; Poaceae
Source: RefSeq, a predicted model, not a curated record